GAUGAAGAACGUAGCGAAACGCGAUAUGUAAUGUGAAUUGCAGAAUUCAGUGAAUCAUCGAAUCUUUGAACGCACAUGGCGCCUUCCAGUAUCCUGGGAGGCAUGCCUGUCCGAGCGUCGUUUCAACCCUCGAGCCCCCGUGGCCCGGCGUUGGGGAUCUGCCCAGGCAGUCCCCGAAAACCAGUGGCGGACCCGUUACAGGCCCUACCCUUGCGUAGUAGCAUUCGCCUCGCAUCGGGAGCCGGCGGGCUUCCAGCCUCUAAACCCCCAUCAAGUCCGCCCCGGCGGCACCAAGGUUGACCUCGGAUCAGGUAGGAAUACCCGCUGAACUUAAGCAUAUCAAUAAGCGGAGGA
Molecule: unclassified non-coding RNA, 354 nt
Filed under: soil metagenome
Description: partial contains 5.8S ribosomal RNA, internal transcribed spacer 2, and large subunit ribosomal RNA
Rfam family: 5.8S ribosomal RNA (bases 1-120)
Source: RNAcentral